RNAcentral lists this ribosomal RNA (497 nucleotides) under uncultured bacterium. Its description in RNAcentral is "partial 16S ribosomal RNA". It matches the Rfam family "Bacterial small subunit ribosomal RNA", at positions 28 to 507 of the family's 1533-position model. The record is from RNAcentral.
GAUGAACGCUGGCGGCGUGCCUAAUACAUGCAAGUCGAGCGAACGGACGAGAAGCUUGCUUCUCUGAUGUUAGCGGCGGACGGGUGAGUAACACGUGGAUAACCUGCCUAUAAGACUGGGAUAACUUCGGGAAACCGUAGCUAAUACCGGAUAAUAUUUUGAACCGCAUGGUUCAAAAGUGAAAGACGGUCUUGCUGUCACUUAUAGAUGGAUCCGCGCUGCAUUAGCUAGUUGGUAAGGUAACGGCUUACCAAGGCAACGAUGCAUAGCCGACCUGAGAGGGUGAUCGGCCACACUGGAACUGAGACACGGUCCAGACUCCUACGGGAGGCAGCAGUAGGGAAUCUUCCGCAAAGGGCGAAAGCCUGACGGAGCAACGCCGCGUGAGUGAUGAAGGUCUUCGGAUCGUAAAACUCUGUUAUUAGGGAAGAACAUAUGUGUAAGUAACUGUGCACAUCUUGACGGUACCUAAUCAGAAAGCCACGGCUAACUACGUG